Long non-coding RNA from Pecten maximus, 4007 nucleotides. RefSeq lists it as uncharacterized. The transcript has 2 exons. NCBI's taxonomy places the organism in Eukaryota, Metazoa, Mollusca, Bivalvia, Pectinida, Pectinidae. The record is from RefSeq and is a predicted model, not a curated record.
UUGUGUCUGAAGCAUGAAUAUGUAAUACAUUGUAUCUGAAGUAUAGACAUUCUUUGCAUUGUAUCUGAGGUCUUGACCUGCAGUAUAGUGUUAUUUUAAGUCUGGAAUAACGUCAACGAUGGUCUGAAAAAUACCUUUGUAUUGCACAAGGCAUGUUAGUAUUGGGGGAGAAUGACUGCGACAUACGAUAUAACGAAGUUAUAUGCUGCUAGGAAAGUUCCAUACGGCAUGAUACAACUACAACAAUAAGGUCGAUUUUGUUCUAUUAUGUAUCAUUUCACUUGACGAAAUAUUUGUUAUAUUAUUAGGUGUGUAAAUCGUUUCAUUGUUCACGUACCUGAAUAAUUCUCAUAUUCAUACUUUAUACACGAGUUAGUUAUGUUAUGUUGAAUUUGAUGAUGCGGUUUCGUGCAAUAAAUGCGCGUGUUCAAUGGUUAAUAUUAUAUUGUUUUGCAUUGUCAUUAUCGAAAUCCAUGUCUACAUUUACGCUCUCGUAAUAAUGUAUCACGUGUUAAUCGUUCCUGUCUUAAUCAGCAUCAUUGGAAUAUGUAAUUGCAAAAUCGAAGCCUCGUAUUGAGAGAUGUCAUUGGGUUAAGUAAAUAUAACUCCAAUCGCUAUCAUGAUAUAUCUCCUUUGAAGAUUACGAAACCAUCGCAAACGAACCAAGCUCGUCAGUUUGUCUUUGAUGUACAGACGAACCAAGGUGGCCAGUGGUCAGUUUGUCUUUGAUGUACAGACGAACCAAGGUGCCCAGUGGUCAGUUUGUCUUUAAUGCAAUAAAGAUAGUAUAUUCUCACUUCCGCUAUAAAACACAUGGUGGCGUUUAUCGCUCCUUCGAUUUUGCUAUGACAUUAUCCAAAUGUGCAAAUCACGCUUGUACAAUGAGACCGGAACCCUUGGAUUUCGAAAAUGUACUUGGCGUGGAUGUGGAAUCGUUGAUGUAUAAUACCUCAUGAAACACUUACCACGUUGUAGCCAAGUUGAAAAUGAAUGUUUUCAAAAUCAUGUAUCAUAUUAUAUCAUGUUUAUUAUUGUAUUGUACAGGUCACAAGUAUGUUUGUAGCGACCUUAGAUGAAUUGUUAUAAGCAUAUACCUCUGGAAAUGUCAAAUCAGCAACUACUUAUAUUUUACCGAAGACAAAGUCUGUUCGAGACCAUCAGAAAGACAGUUGUGCUUUUUGGUGAAUUAAUCAUUAGCCACAACAAUAUUUAAACAAAACAGCGAUAUGAACACAUAUUUUUGGAAGGAAGCAUAUCGAGUCUUCUCAUAAAGAUAGUUGUGUUUUCUUCUUGAAACUUUUCAACAAGAUAAAGCAACAAAUAUAAUGAUAAUAAACUUCACCGUGCCGCUGUUUCGUCAUUUAAAAUUAUAACCAAUCUACAAACUCUGGUGAUAUUCUGUUUAUGUCUAGAAAAAAAAUUGAAGUCCUCAUUGUGACGGUGAUUCAUUAUACUGUAAAGCAACACUUUUUGCGAAUUUAUAUUUCUGGAUUGAUAUUUUCAAAUGUUUUUCUCUUUAAUAUUCGGGAAGGUUUGAAUCGAUAUUCUUGAUUUAUUUAACUUGAUACUCAAGUGAGCGCAGAAACCAUUGUCUAGCGAAAUAAAACCAUCUUAAGUGGCAUAAGACCAUAUUUAUAUUUUACGCGAACAUUAGCGACUCGCAAAGCUAAACUGAUUCGCAGUAACUGUUAUAUCCUGGUUGUGUUUUAUAGAGUCUAUAUGUUAGAAACAAAUACAAAAACCUAAAAAGAACACAAAAAUAUUUUAUAAUUUUCUAUGUUGAACUGAGUUAUCAUAUAAAUAUAUUAUAUACUCGUUGUCUUGUGUAUUGUUGGUACUGUUAGUUCACGUUUGAUAAUCUCUCUUCCCAUUGGAAAAGUUAUUAUAGUCAGUAGAUAUAUACAUCUAUAGAUACCGAAAGUGUAUAUGUUGUUUUGAUAGUGUACUAGUAAUGUUUUAAUAUAAAGGUAUGCUGUACUGUGAAAGUGGUGGUUUUCGCGAGCGGCCACUUUUCGCAGUAUAACUAUCAUAAAGUGAUGUGUAUAUUAAUUAAUUGUUAACAUACUCGAUGCAUCAAUACAUGAUAUGUGUUUUUUACUUGUUUUCAUGGUAAACAUAUCUGUAAUUGUAUUCAGAUUAAGUAAUGCUGGAUUCGCGGAAAAUGAUGCACCACAAAAAUAUUUACUUUUACAGCAUCCGAUUUUCGAUAAAACCUGUGUAAUAGGAAUCAUUGAAUAAUAGUUUAAUUUAACUUCCAUUUUAACAAAGACAACAAAUGCAUUGGGCAUGAUAUCACAUUAUAAUCGUCACAUCAUUACCAUCAAUAUCACGUGAUCUAGUGACGUCACAGUUUUUAAAGGUAAGCUGAUCUGUUAUUGAAUUUUAACAAAAUUUGGUUCCAUAAAAUUUCAGUUUUCAUCAUAUUAUGCUAUUGUGUGAAUCAGCAUGCCAAACGAAUACAUAAGCAUUGCAGUAAGUUUUGAUUGCAUUCAUAAGUAGCAUGAAUGCUAAAUUGACUGCAAACGGUUUUACAUGGUUUUUCUUGGCAUUUAUAUAUCCAUGAGUGUCAAAUAAAAAAGGAAGCAUACAUUUUAAAAUCUCCAUGCUUACAGUAUACAGUCAGUACACUAAGUGUCCAUGUCACAGUAAGGUAGCAUACAUCUUAAGUCUACGUGUACAGUAGGGUAGCAUACAGCCUUAACUCGCUAUGUCACAGUGAAGUAGCAUACAGCCUUAACUCUCCGUGUCACAGCAAGGUAUCUUAAGUCCUUCAGUGAACAUUGUUACUAAUAGAGAUUGAAGGGGAUGAUUGAGAAAAUUAAUCAAAACCCAAGUGUCUAGAUUAACCAUGUUCAGUUAAGGAAAUUCCUUAUUAAACAGGUUUUAUUGUACUUUAAUGAGCAAUUACACAUAUUGAAAUAUGAGUCAUGAUGAUAAACAUAUUUGGAUUCUUCAAUUUUACUAAGCAUACAUGAAAUCAUCCAAUGUGCUUCGUAUUUCCAGCAUAAUAUUUUUCAUUAAAGAUAUAUGCUCAUGUAUCUGAAAAUGAAUCAGAGUGGUAAACAACGUUUGGUAACCACAGUGGUGUGUGUUGGUACCCAUAAUUGUUUCUUGGUUACCUCAGUGGUUUUAGAUCUUGUCUUGGAAAGCGCAUUUUUGACAACCACAAUGUUAAGUUGUUAACAUGAUGUUGACUGGUUAUAGAAACCUGUUAUCAAGAACGUUAAUAUUUUGGUAUAGAGCGUGUGUACUAUACCGUAGAUAAUUCUAUUCUAGUGUAACCGUUAUUCAGCAAUGGUGUACCACGUAUUUUCAAACUAUCAUAUCUAUCUUAAAUUUCUUUAAAUCACUUUAUUUACUUUAAUUUCUUUCUGUCUAGUUUUUAUUCCCAAAAUGCGUUUAAUGGGAUGAUAAUUCAUUAUCCGUAAUAAUAAUCAUCAACGGUAUAAUCCUACUCGCAAAAAUUUCAUUUUCGAGAAUGAACAUCCUCUUGCUAAUUAUCGCGAAGAUUAUAUCUCGCGAAAAUAGAGUGAUUUACACUAUAUUCAAUAUCAACCAACUUACUCAUAAAUAAUACCGCCACAUGUACUGUAAUUGCAGAAAAGAAAUGAAUAAUAAUGAUAUUCUCGCAUCAAUUAAUAUCAAUUAUAAUACAUGUAAAUUCUUUUUAGAUGGGGAUAUUAUUUACAAAAUAUAUGUGAAUGGAAUAUGGACGCCAUGACGCUUGAGAGUUCACAGUGAUCACUAUAGAAAAUAAAAAUAACGAAAGAAAGCGAUGGAACAACAUAAGAUGGGCCGCGAUGGCAAGAAACGGUCUGUAAUGCUGUUAUCUAUAAAAUAAAAACACAUUUGGACUCAAAUAGUCAAAUGCAAGAUAGUUUCAAAAUACUUGUUAUACUCAUUGUUGAAUGUUUUGUACAUAAAAACCUUUGUUGUAUGUUGGAAAAUUAGAACACAUGUUAUGUUUAUUUGCGUUUAUCAAACAUUAAAAAUAUACAUUGGAAAAA